UACGUAGGGUGCAAGCGUUAAUUGGAAUUACUGGGCGUAAAGCGUGCGCAGGCGGUUCCGCAAGUCAGAUGUGAAAUCCCCGGGCUUAACCUGGGAACUGCAUUUGAAACUAUGGAGCUAGAGUGUGUCAGAGGGGGGUAGAAUUCCACGUGUAGCAGUGAAAUGCGUAGAGAUGUGGAGGAAUACCGAUGGCGAAGGCAGCCCCCUGGGAUAACACUGACGCUCAUGCACGAAAGCGUGGGGAGCAAACAGG
RNAcentral lists this ribosomal RNA (253 nucleotides) under uncultured bacterium. RNAcentral's name for it is "partial 16S ribosomal RNA". It matches the Rfam family "Bacterial small subunit ribosomal RNA", at positions 524 to 776 of the family's 1533-position model. The record is from RNAcentral.